Molecule: long non-coding RNA, 320 nt
Organism: Haliotis rubra (blacklip abalone)
Lineage: Eukaryota; Metazoa; Mollusca; Gastropoda; Lepetellida; Haliotidae
Exons: 3
Source: RefSeq, a predicted model, not a curated record
GUCUUCAUUACACACCCAUAUCAUAAUAGUUGGCGGAGAAUCAACGAUUUUCGGAACCUCGGAGCCCAGGAACUAACUACAACCAGCUACAAGAACACAUGGAAUAACAAGCAACUGCAUCCACGUCUGAUCUCAACACUGGAUUAAGGACCACCAACUCCUGUAAAGACACCAACCAAGGAAGAAAAAGUCUUCAAAAAUUGUAAGUACUACUUUACAUUGUUGAUUUCUUGUCUUUUCUUAAUUAUAGCACGGUACAUACUAUAAGGUGUCAUGGCCAAUAUGGAGUCUGGUAUGGAAAGUAACUGUGGAAGUGAAAU